RNAcentral lists this ribosomal RNA (254 nucleotides) under uncultured bacterium. Its description in RNAcentral is "partial 16S ribosomal RNA". It matches the Rfam family "Bacterial small subunit ribosomal RNA", at positions 524 to 776 of the family's 1533-position model. The record is from RNAcentral.
UACGUAGGGGGCGAGCGUUGUCCGGAUUUAUUGGGCGUAAAACGCUUGUAGGUGGCUACGUCAAGUCGGACGUGAAAUCUCCCGGCUUAACUGGGAGGAGUCGCUCGAUACUGGCGAGCUCGAGGCAGGUAGGGGGAAGCGGAAUUCCCGGUGUAGUGGUGGAAUGCGUAGAUAUCGGGAGGAACACCAGUGGCGAAGGCGGCUUCCUGGACCUGUUCUGACACUGAGGAGCGAAAGCGUGGGGAGCGAUCCGG